AUUGAACGCUGGCGGCAUGCCUUACACAUGCAAGUCGAACGGUAACAGGUCUUCGGAUGCUGACGAGUGGCGAACGGGUGAGUAAUACAUCGGAACGUGCCUAGUAGUGGGGGAUAACUACUCGAAAGAGUGGUUAAUACCGCAUGAGAUCUACGGAUGAAAGCAGGGGAUCGCAAGACCUUGUGCUACUAGAGCGGCCGAUGGCAGAUUAGGUAGUUGGUGGGAUAAAAGCUUACCAAGCCGACGAUCUGUAGCUGGUCUGAGAGGACGAUCAGCAAAACUGGGACUGAGACACGGCCCAGACUCCUACGGGAGGCAGCAGUGGGGAAUUUUGGACAAUGGGCGCAAGCCUGAUCCAGCAAUGCCGCGUGCAGGAUGAAGGCCUUCGGGUUGUAAACUGCUUUUGUACGGAACGAAAAGCCCUGGGUUAAUACCCUGGGGUCAUGACGGUACCGUAAGAAUAAGCACCAGCUAACUACGUGCCAGCCGCCGCCGUAA
This 498-nucleotide ribosomal RNA is filed under the name uncultured bacterium. RNAcentral's name for it is "partial 16S ribosomal RNA". It matches the Rfam family "Bacterial small subunit ribosomal RNA", at positions 30 to 523 of the family's 1533-position model. The record is from RNAcentral.